Molecule: long non-coding RNA, 747 nt
Filed under: Mus musculus (house mouse)
Lineage: Eukaryota; Metazoa; Chordata; Mammalia; Rodentia; Muridae
Description: long non-coding RNA chr16:16871082-16871829
Source: RNAcentral
AGGGAAACCGGCUCAGGGAAGUUGUGCUGCCCACAGAGGCUCAGGCCUGCGGUUUGCGUUCUUAUCCGAAGGUUCCACUCGCUGCCUCCCGGAGCCUGCUCUGUCUGGAGACCCAGGCUGUUCUCGGACUUGAUCUCUGCAGAUUAGGAGAAAACUUGGGUAAACCAAUGAGCUAGAGUCGAGGGCCAGCUAGUUAUGCAUAGGGAAGAACGGAUGACCUCUCUUAACCUAUUUGGAACCCGGCCUUUGGGAACAGGACUGUGAAAAGCCAGGACGACUUGGAUUUGAUAGCCAGAGAAAGGGGGGAAUUUUCACCGUUCGCCAAGGUCCCUUGUCGCUAGUCUGAAUUGUUAUGCACUGCGAUUUAUUCUGGCUUUUUAAACUAGGAUGAUGAGAUGGCUCAGCGCUCUUACAACCAAGGUUCCGACCCCGGGAACUCACGUUGUAAAAAGAGAGAGCUGAAUCCCACAAUUUGUCUUCUGACCUGUGACCGGCAGCAUGUGCGUGCCCAUACAUAUCCACACACAAAAUAACUGUUUAUUUGUUUGUUUAACUUUAACUCCUAUUUUAUAGCAAUGUUGGUAGACAGAGCUGCAGCAUACUAGAUACAAAGAAGGAGUUAAGAGACAGGCUUAUUUUCCUGGAUCUGUAGGUGAUUAAAAGUCACUGAAGUGUUAAAUUCUUAGAUUUCCCAUGCUUUGCUGACCCCUUUUGGGGCUCCUCAAGUUAAAUCCACUACUACAUAAU